RNAcentral lists this non-coding RNA (23 nucleotides) under Rattus norvegicus (Norway rat). The record is from RNAcentral. Lineage: Eukaryota; Metazoa; Chordata; Mammalia; Rodentia; Muridae.
UCUUUAACUGAAGUGCAUCGUAC